GAAGGGUUAGUUAAAUUAUAACAUUGCCUUGUCAAGACAAAAUUAUUAGUGAGACUCUUGUACCCCUCU
RNAcentral lists this transfer RNA (69 nucleotides) under Odorrana schmackeri (piebald odorous frog). RNAcentral's name for it is "tRNA-Asp". It matches the Rfam family "tRNA". Rfam says of the family: Transfer RNA (tRNA) molecules are approximately 80 nucleotides in length. Their secondary structure includes four short double-helical elements and three loops (D, anti-codon, and T loops). Lineage: Eukaryota; Metazoa; Chordata; Amphibia; Anura; Ranidae. RNAcentral also lists the same sequence under 1 other name. The record is from RNAcentral.